This 25-nucleotide transfer RNA is filed under the name Alcedo atthis (common kingfisher). RNAcentral describes it as "partial tRNA-Met". Lineage: Eukaryota; Metazoa; Chordata; Aves; Coraciiformes; Alcedinidae. The record is from RNAcentral.
GAUGGUUUAACCCCCUCCGCUACUA